CCUACGGGUGGCAGCAGUGAGGAAUAUUGGUCAAUGGACGAGAGUCUGAACCAGCCAAGUCGCGUGAAGGAUGACUGCCCUCUGGGUUGUAAACUUCUUUUAUGUGGGAAUAAAAUGUUCCACGUGUGGGAUUUUGUAUGUACCAUAUGAAUAAGAAUCGGCUCACUCCGUGCCAGCAGCCGCGCUAAUACGGAGGAUCCGAGCGUUGUCCGGAUUUAUUGGGUUUAAAGGGAACGUAGGUGGAUUGUUAAGUCAGUUGUGAAAUCUUGCGGCUCAACCGUAGAAUUGCAGUUGAAACUGGCAGGCUUGAGUACAGUAGAGGUGGGCAGAAUUCGUGGUGUAGCGGUGAAAUGCUUAGAUAUCACGAAGAACUCCGAUGGCGAAGGCAGCUCACUGGACGGCAACUGACACUGAGGCUCGAAAGUGUGGGUAUCAAACAGGAUUAGAUACCCGAGUAGUC
RNAcentral lists this ribosomal RNA (460 nucleotides) under uncultured bacterium. RNAcentral describes it as "partial 16S ribosomal RNA". It matches the Rfam family "Bacterial small subunit ribosomal RNA", at positions 338 to 795 of the family's 1533-position model. The record is from RNAcentral.